This 71-nucleotide transfer RNA is filed under the name Marmota monax (woodchuck). RNAcentral describes it as "tRNA.Ala". It matches the Rfam family "tRNA". From Rfam's summary of the family: Transfer RNA (tRNA) molecules are approximately 80 nucleotides in length. The record is from RNAcentral. Lineage: Eukaryota; Metazoa; Chordata; Mammalia; Rodentia; Sciuridae.
GGGGUUGUGGCUCAGUGGUACAGUGCUUGCCUAGCAUGCGUGAGGCACUGGGUUCAAUCCCCAGCACCACA